Molecule: ribosomal RNA, 255 nt
Filed under: uncultured bacterium
Lineage: Bacteria
Description: partial 16S ribosomal RNA
Rfam family: Bacterial small subunit ribosomal RNA
Source: RNAcentral
GACAUAGGUCACAAACGUUAUCCGGAAUUAUUGGGCGUAAAGGAUGCGUAGAUGGUAGAAUAAGUUAUUGAUGGUAAAUCAAGGCUCAACCUUAGUGGAAGUUGAUAAUACUAUUUUACUUGAGGACAGGAGAGGUUAAUGGAACUCCAUGUGGAGCGGUGAAAUGCACAGAUAUAUGGAAGAACACCAAAAGGCGAAGGCAGUUAACUAUUCUGCUCCUGACAUUGAGGCAUGAAAGCGUGGGGAGCAAAACGG